This 480-nucleotide ribosomal RNA is filed under the name uncultured bacterium. RNAcentral's name for it is "partial 16S ribosomal RNA". It matches the Rfam family "Bacterial small subunit ribosomal RNA", at positions 28 to 507 of the family's 1533-position model. The record is from RNAcentral.
GACGAACGCUGGCGGCGCGCUUAACACAUGCAAGUCGAGCGAUGAAACUUUAACAGAACCCUUCGGGGCGAAGAUACGGUGGAUUAGCGGCGGACGGGUUAGUAACACUUGAGUAACCUGCCUUAGACAUUGGGAUAGCCUCGGGAAACCGGGAUUAAUACCAACUAAAAUCAUAAUGACACAUGUCAUAACGAUCAAAACUCCGGUGGUCUAAGAGGGACUCGCGUCGCAUUAGCUAGUUGGUAGGGUAAAAGCCUACCAAGGCGACGAUGGGUAGCCGGGCAGAGAGGGAGAGCCGACACACUGAAACUGAGAAGCGGUACAAACUCUUACGGGAGGCAGGAGUGGGGGAUAUUGCAAAAUGGCGGGAAUUAUGAUGCAGCGACGCCGCGAGAACGAAGUAAGUUUUGGAGAAGUAAAGUGCUUUUAUAUGGGCAGAUCAUGACGGUACCAAAACAAAAAGCCACGGCUAACUACGUG